Pantherophis guttatus is the source of this 279-nucleotide non-coding RNA. NCBI's taxonomy places the organism in Eukaryota, Metazoa, Chordata, Lepidosauria, Squamata, Colubridae. The record is from RefSeq and is a predicted model, not a curated record.
GCCUAGCUGUCGAUGUUAUUAUAAAGGCAGAAGUUUUCAGCCUGGAGAAAUUUUGCCCACACCAUCGGGAUCAUGCCAAUGUCUAAACGGAACAAUGAAAUGCAAUGAAGCACCAGCUGUCCCAGCAGUGCACUCAUGUCCUGAUGGAAAGAUCUACUAUGACUGCCAAUCUCAUAUACCUGGCUUGCCAUCAGCUGGAAUAAACUGUGAACUAACAUGUAUAAAUAUUGCUAUGAACUUUACCUGUACACCUUCUCCACCAUGUUUGAAUGGUUGCAU